Molecule: long non-coding RNA, 504 nt
Filed under: Mytilus galloprovincialis (Mediterranean mussel)
Lineage: Eukaryota; Metazoa; Mollusca; Bivalvia; Mytilida; Mytilidae
Source: RNAcentral
GUGCGUUUUUAUUUCUUCUCUUCUUGUUUUGUAAUCUUCUUCUGUUGAGCAAAUUCUUUUGACACGAAUGCCGAGUCCAUAUGGUAUAGCAUUUUUUACAGAGUUUGGAUGGCUUGACGACACAUGUAAGUAUUGGUGUUUAUCUGUUGAUUUUGUAUAAAGAUCUGUUUUAAGUUGUCCGUUUUCUAUGUGUACAAACACAUCAAGAAAUUCAAUUUUUUCAGUUGAGUAACGCAUUUCUGUUUUAAUUCGCGGAUGCAAACUGUUUGACAUUUCGUGAAAUUUUUUUAAUUCAUCUAAACCAUGUUCCCAUAUCCCCCAGAUGUCAUCAACAUAUCUCCAAUAUGAAAAUGGUUGUAAAUUGCUGUUUUGAAAUAAAUUUUCUUCCCAUUGUCCGAGGUAGGUGCAAGCAUAAUUCAUGCCUAGAUGGGAACCAAUAGCUGUUCCUUCAGUUUGUAAAAAGUGCUUUCCGUUGAAGCUAAAAUUAUUAUUUUCAAUGACUAA